UGAACGCUGGCGGAAUGCUUUACACAUGCAAGUCGAGCGGCAGCGCGGGGGCAACCCUGGCGGCGAGCGGCGAACGGGUGAGUAAUACAUCGGAACGUGUCCUUAAGUGGGGGAUAGCUCGGCGAAAGCCGGAUUAAUACCGCAUAAGCUCUGAGGAGGAAAGCGGGGGAUUCGCAAGGACCUCGCGCUGUUGGAGCGGCCGAUGUCGGAUUAGCUAGUUGGUGGGGUAAAGGCCCACCAAGGCGACGAUCCGUAGCUGGUCUGAGAGGAUGAUCAGCCACACUGGAACUGAGACACGGUCCAGACUCCUACGGGAGGCAGCAGUGGGGAAUUUUGGACAAUGGGGGCAACCCUGAUCCAGCCAUUCCGCGUGAGUGAAGAAGGCC
This 386-nucleotide ribosomal RNA is filed under the name uncultured bacterium. RNAcentral describes it as "bacterial SSU rRNA". It matches the Rfam family "Bacterial small subunit ribosomal RNA", at positions 30 to 416 of the family's 1533-position model. The record is from RNAcentral.